UCCGUAGGCGGGCGAUUAAGUCAGAGGUGAAAUCCCACAGCUCAACUGUGGAACUGCCUUUGAUACUGGUUGUCUUGAGUUACAGUGAAGUAGAUAGAAUAUGUAGUGUAGCGGUGAAAUGCAUAGAUAUUACAUAGAAUACCGAUUGCGAAGGCAGUCUACUAACUGUUAACUGACGCUAAGGGACGAAAGCAUGGGGAGCGAACAGGAUUAGAUACCCUGGUAGUCC
This 229-nucleotide ribosomal RNA is filed under the name uncultured bacterium. RNAcentral describes it as "partial 16S ribosomal RNA". It matches the Rfam family "Bacterial small subunit ribosomal RNA", at positions 568 to 796 of the family's 1533-position model. The record is from RNAcentral.